GACGAACGCUGGCGGCGUGCUUAACACAUGCAAGUCGAACGGAAAGGCCCUGCUUUUGUGGGGUGCUCGAGUGGCGAACGGGUGAGUAACACGUGAGUAACCUGCCCUUGACUUUGGGAUAACUUCAGGAAACUGGGGCUAAUACCGGAUAGGAGCUCCUGCUGCAUGGUGGGGGUUGGAAAGUUUCGGCGGUGGGGGAUGGACUCGCGGCUUAUCAGCUUGUUGGUGGGGUAGUGGCUUACCAAGGCUUUGACGGGUAGCCGGCCUGAGAGGGUGACCGGCCACAUUGGGACUGAGCUACGGCCCAGACUCCUACGGGAGGCAACAGUGGGGAAUAUUGCACAAUGGGCGGAAGCCUGAUGCAGCAACGCCGCGUGCGGGAUGACGGCCUUCGGGUUGUAAACCGCUUUCGCCUGUGACGAAGCGUAAGUGACGGUAAUGGGUAAAGAAGCACCGGCUAACUACGUG
This 468-nucleotide ribosomal RNA is filed under the name uncultured bacterium. RNAcentral's name for it is "partial 16S ribosomal RNA". It matches the Rfam family "Bacterial small subunit ribosomal RNA", at positions 28 to 507 of the family's 1533-position model. The record is from RNAcentral.